This 440-nucleotide ribosomal RNA is filed under the name uncultured bacterium. RNAcentral describes it as "partial 16S ribosomal RNA". It matches the Rfam family "Bacterial small subunit ribosomal RNA", at positions 338 to 795 of the family's 1533-position model. The record is from RNAcentral.
CCUACGGGUGGCAGCAGUGGGGAAUAUUGCACAAUGGGGGAAACCCUGAUGCAGCGACGCCGCGUGAGUGAAGAAGGACUUCGGUACGUAAAGCUCUAUUAGCAGGGAAGAAAAUGACGGUACGUGACUAAGAAGCCCCGGCUAAUUACGUGCCAGCAGCCGCGGUAAUACGUAGGGGGCCAGCGUUAUCCGGAUUUACUGGGUGUAAAGGGAGCGUAGACGGGUUCGUAAGUCUGGAGUGAAAGUGCAGGGCUUAACCAUGGAACUGCUUUGGAAACUGUCCAGCUAGAGUGCAGUAGAGGUAAGCGGAAUUCGUGGUGUAGCGGUGAAAUGCGUAGAUAUUAGGAAGAACACCAAUGGCGAAGGCAGCUUACUGGACUGUAACUGACGUUGAGGCUCGAAAGCGUGGGGAGCAAACAGGAUUAGAUACCCGAGUAGUC